RNAcentral lists this ribosomal RNA (662 nucleotides) under Lysinibacillus sp. RNAcentral describes it as "bacterial SSU rRNA". It matches the Rfam family "Bacterial small subunit ribosomal RNA", at positions 74 to 720 of the family's 1533-position model. The record is from RNAcentral. Lineage: Bacteria; Bacillati; Bacillota; Bacilli; Caryophanales; Bacillaceae.
AGGAGCUUGCUCCUUUGACGUUAGCGGCGGACGGGUGAGUAACACGUGGGCAACCUACCUUAUAGUUUGGGAUAACUCCGGGAAACCGGGGCUAAUACCGAAUAAUCUAUUUUACUUCAUGGUGAAAUACUGAAAGACGGUUUCGGCUGUCGCUAUAAGAUGGGCCCGCGGCGCAUUAGCUAGUUGGUGAGGUAACGGCUCACCAAGGCGACGAUGCGUAGCCGACCUGAGAGGGUGAUCGGCCACACUGGGACUGAGACACGGCCCAGACUCCUACGGGAGGCAGCAGUAGGGAAUCUUCCACAAUGGGCGAAAGCCUGAUGGAGCAACGCCGCGUGAGUGAAGAAGGUUUUCGGAUCGUAAAACUCUGUUGUAAGGGAAGAACAAGUACAGUAGUAACUGGCUGUACCUUGACGGUACCUUAUUAGAAAGCCACGGCUAACUACGUGCCAGCAGCCGCGGUAAUACGUAGGUGGCAAGCGUUGUCCGGAAUUAUUGGGCGUAAAGCGCGCGCAGGCGGUCCUUUAAGUCUGAUGUGAAAGCCCACGGCUCAACCGUGGAGGGUCAUUGGAAACUGGGGGACUUGAGUGCAGAAGAGGAAAGUGGAAUUCCAAGUGUAGCGGUGAAAUGCGUAGAGAUUUGGAGGAACACCAGUGGCGAAG